This 1433-nucleotide ribosomal RNA is filed under the name uncultured Alphaproteobacteria bacterium. RNAcentral describes it as "uncultured alpha proteobacterium 16S ribosomal RNA". It matches the Rfam family "Bacterial small subunit ribosomal RNA". The record is from RNAcentral. Lineage: Bacteria; Pseudomonadati; Pseudomonadota; Alphaproteobacteria.
AGAGUUUGAUCAUGGCUCAGAACGUACGCUGGCGGCACGCCUAACACAUGCAAGUCGAACGAAGUAGCAAUACUUAGUGGCAGACGGGUGAGUAACAUGUGGGUAUCUGCCCUUUGGCCUGGAAUAACACGAGGAAACUUGUGCUAAUACCGGAUAAGUCUUUACGGAGAAAGCUUUAUGCACCAUUGGAUGAGCCCGCACUUGAUUAGUUUGUUGGUGGGGUAAUGGCCUACCAAGACUGUGAUCAAUAGCUGAUUUGAGAGGAUGAUCAGCCACAUUGGGACUGAGACACGGCCCAAACUCCUACGGGAGGCAGCAGUGGGGAAUCUUGCACAAUGGAGGAAACUCUGAUGCAGCGAUGCCGCGUGAGUGAAGAAGGCCUUUGGGUUGUAAAGCUCUUUCGUCGGGGAAGAAAAUGACUGUACCCGAAUAAGAAGGUCCGGCUAACUUCGUGCCAGCAGCCGCGGUAAUACGAAGGGACCUAGCGUAGUUCGGAAUUACUGGGCUUAAAGAGUUCGUAGGUGGUUGAAAAAGUUGGUGGUGAAAUCCCAGAGCUUAACUCUGGAACUGCCAUCAAAACUUUUCAGCUAGAGUUUGAUAGAGGAAAGCAGAAUUUCUAGUGUAGAGGUGAAAUUCGUAGAUAUUAGAAAGAAUACCAAUUGCGAAGGCAGCUUUCUGGAUCAUUACUGACACCGAGGAACGAAAGCAUGGGUAGCGAAGAGGAUUAGAUACCCUCGUAGUCCAUGCCGUAAACGAUGUGUGUUAGACGUUGGAAAUUUAUUUUCAGUGUCGCAGCGAAAGCGAUAAACACACCGCCUGGGGAGUACGACCGCAAGGUUAAAACUCAAAUGAAUUGACGGGGACCCGCACAAGUAGUGGAGCAUGUGGUUUAAUUCGAAGAUACGCGCAGAACCUUACCAACACUUGACAUGUUCGUCGCGACUUUAAGAGAUUAAAGUUUUCGGUUCGGCCGGACGAAACACAGGUGCUGCAUGGCUGUCGUCAGCUCGUGUCGUGAGAUGUUGGGUUAAGUCCCGCAACGAGCGCAACCCUCACUUUUAGUUGCCAUCAUUUAGUUGGGCACUCUGAAAGAACUGCCAGUGAUAAGCUGGAGGAAGGUGGGGAUGACGUCAAGUCCUCAUGGCCCUUACGUGUUGGGCUACACACGUGCUACAAUGGUAUCUACAACAGGAAGCAAAACAGCGAUGUUAAGCAAAUCCUUAAAAGAUACCUCAGUUCGGAUUGCACUCUGCAACUCGAGUGCAUGAAGCUGGAAUUACUAGUAAUCGUGGAUCAGCGUGCCACGGUGAAUGCGUUCCCGGGUCUUGUACACACCGCCCGUCACACCAUGGGAGUUGGUUCUACCUUAAGGCAAGGUUUAAUACCCUUGACCACGGUAUAGUCAGCGACUGGGGUGAAGUCGUAACAAGGUA